This 107-nucleotide unclassified non-coding RNA is filed under the name Halorubrum ezzemoulense. RNAcentral's name for it is "HgcC family RNA". The record is from RNAcentral. Lineage: Archaea; Methanobacteriati; Methanobacteriota; Halobacteria; Halobacteriales; Haloferacaceae.
UUGGACUAGUUUGUCGGUUACAAACCGUAACCAUCCCAAACCAGCGGUGCGGGGCCGUGGGAAUCUUCGCCCUUCAGGGCGGAGAGGAUGUCAAGGGAUAGAGCUGA